Jaminaea rosea is the source of this 98-nucleotide non-coding RNA. NCBI's taxonomy places the organism in Eukaryota, Fungi, Basidiomycota, Exobasidiomycetes, Microstromatales. The record is from the annotation of a RefSeq genome assembly.
GUGGGCGUCGUCUAACGGUGAGGACGUUACGUUGUGGCGAGUUCUUGCAUCUCACACAUCUUUCCGUGGAAAUGGGGGUUCGAUUCCCCCCGCCCACA